Long non-coding RNA from Macaca fascicularis (crab-eating macaque), 1997 nucleotides. Lineage: Eukaryota; Metazoa; Chordata; Mammalia; Primates; Cercopithecidae. The record is from Ensembl.
AUGAUAGCCCCCUGGGGCACCGGCCUAGAACAGAGCAACAAAUAUUUACUAAUUCCAUUAACAGAAGAGAGUUGGAAUUUUUUUUUCCCAAGCGAAUAUCCGAGGCCCCAAGUUCAUGUAGUGACCCAAAGUUACACUUUGGUUCACCAAGACGAAGACGCGUCCUUCCUCUCUCUAUGGAUCUUUCAGGUGGCUAUACAGAGUCAGCCCUUGUGCUGCUCAUUUACAAAUAGCUGCUUGGUGUCUCCCCUCAUCUCCACUCCUCUGGAUUCCAGAACUUCCCACACAGGAGCCCAACCCUGGACAGUGACGGUGACCCAUGGAGAAUGCAUCAUGCCUGUCAGGGUCCUGUUGGUUCAGCGGCUGGGGAGGCAGCACCCUGCUGGGAGCGGUCACUUCCCACGAAGAUGGAUGGCUUUCUCUGUCCCGGCGACACUCUAACUGCCAGAGAUCCACCCGCGCUCACUGAAGACCUCUAUGUAUGAAGGAAGAGGAAGAGAGAGGGAAGGAAUAAGGAAAGAGGAUAUAGGACUGGAGAGAAGGAAAAAAACAAAAGGAAAAGGCAGAAGAAAGCUGAGUCCAUGUUUCAUGGACAGACAAGGUUUCGUCUGGAGUCAUCUUUUCUUAGCUAUGGGAUCCUAAACACAUUACUUAAUUCUUCCAAACCUCAGUUCCUCUCAUCUAUGAAAAAUGAAGACAAAGUAUCUAUUUUAGAGAAUUUUAAAGUCGUAAAUGUAUGAGAUAGAUGAUACCAAGUGUGAUACUCAAUACAGAGCAGGUGCUCAGCAAUUUUUCCACCUUCUUUAGAAUCAUUUAAAAAAAAUUAGCACUGCUUUUUUAAAACAGAUGAUCACUCAAGGACAGUCUCUUUGUACAGGACCAGCUGCAUCAUUUGUAGGACCUGGUGCCAAAUGAAAAUGUGGGUCCCUUGUUCUAGAAAACUAGGUUCAGAUAUUGCACAUGUUAAAUGCAGAUGCAGGACACGAAAUGGUGGAGGAGAUGCCCAUGACACAUCUCCUCUGCUCAUUGUCCCGUCAGACUUCACAUGCAACAAAAAGAUACAAUUAUUAAGUAUUUUAAGACAGUGACAGGACAGCAUCAGACCAAAGGAGAAGCCCCUCGGUGUGCAGGCUCUGUGUGGCUGCGCAGGUUACAGGCUAUGAAGCUGGCCCUGUCUCCAUAACACAAUCGAGGUGCAAACCUCCUGAACAGGCUGGCCUGGGGGAGUUUUUCCCUGAUGUCCUAGUGCUUUCUUGCUGCCUUGGAAACCAACCUUUGAUUUCUGCAAUCCAGGAGAUGAUGCCAUCUUUGAUCUCCAAUCCCCUGCAGGCACCUGUAGUCAUUCUACCCUCACGAGCUCUCUGGGAAGUGGUCACAAUUAUUAUCCCCAACCCACAGAGGGAGAAAAUGAGGCAGAAAGCAGUGGCAGGACUUGCCCCAAAUCACAUGGUUAUUGGGCACUUGAGUUGAGAUUCGAUCCUAGAUCUCUUUGGUACCAACCUCUGGGUAACUGCCCCUAUUUCAAUGGACCACAGAUGUUCCCAAACCCACACACACCUGCACUCAUGUGGACAUGUCCAGUCCCCACAUCUCCACCAGGCCUCCUCUAAUCUAGCUCUGAACUUUUCAAAGACAAUAAGUCUGAAGAGUGAUACAUUCAGUCAACUCCAAAAAUAAAGCAGAUGCCGGUGGAUACAUCUAUGAAUGACACAACAUAUUGGCUGGUUUCACUGUUAAUUAAUGCAGAGAGGAAUCAUUAAAUCAGAUCAAAUUCAUUUAAAAACAGUUCAGCUCUGCCCUGCUCGCCUCUCCUCCCCAUUGUGAGGGCCGUGUGGAUGGCUGGGGGGAGGGAGGGAAAAGGGAACAGAUACAGCGAUUUAAUUUCUCAAGUAACACUGUUCAAAUAAAAAUACAUUUGUUCGAAUGAGAUUGCCCUGAAACAGCGUUUGCAUUGAUGGCUCUGAGAGUAAUUCUAUUAAGCCGGAGCAUAUUUUUCA